AUGGAGCUUUAGACACCCGGCAGAUCACGUCAAAAACCUUGAACUAACAAGUAAAAACGCAGUGACCCCUGGCCCAUAUGUCUUUGGUUGGGGCGACCGCGGGGGAAAAUAAAGCCCCCAUGUGGACUGGGGGCACUGCCCCCACAGCCGAGAGCUACAGCUCUAAGCACCAGAAUUUCUGACCAAAAAUGAUCCGGCAAACGCCGAUCAACGGACCG
RNAcentral lists this ribosomal RNA (218 nucleotides) under Oncorhynchus keta (chum salmon). RNAcentral's name for it is "partial 16S ribosomal RNA". The record is from RNAcentral. Lineage: Eukaryota; Metazoa; Chordata; Actinopteri; Salmoniformes; Salmonidae.